Scomber scombrus (Atlantic mackerel) is the source of this 196-nucleotide long non-coding RNA. RefSeq lists it as uncharacterized. The transcript is spliced from 3 exons. NCBI's taxonomy places the organism in Eukaryota, Metazoa, Chordata, Actinopteri, Scombriformes, Scombridae. The record is from RefSeq and is a predicted model, not a curated record.
GAAGAGUUCAGAGAAGCCGUGACAGGGUUUGUUGCAAGGUAUACCUUUGAAAAUCCUGACACUGACCGCAUUGAUUGCCAUCUUAAAAACUUGUUUGAUGAUUUAAUCAAACGUACAGCAUACACCUAUAACAUCACAAGGACGCUGGGCAUUGACAGAGUGUCUGAACAACGUGAUGCUGCUCAGUACUUCGAGA